Molecule: ribosomal RNA, 439 nt
Filed under: uncultured bacterium
Lineage: Bacteria
Description: partial 16S ribosomal RNA
Rfam family: Bacterial small subunit ribosomal RNA
Source: RNAcentral
CUACGGGCCGCAGCAGUGGGGAAUAUUGCACAAUGGAGGAAACUCUGAUGCAGCAACGCCGCGUGGAGGAUGACACUUUUCAGAGCGUAAACUCCUUUUAUAUAGGAAGAAGAUGACGGUACUAUAUGAAUAAGCGCCGGCUAACUCCGUGCCAGCAGCCGCGGUAAUACGGAGGGCGCAAGCGUUACUCGGAAUCACUGGGCGUAAAGAGCGUGUAGGCGGAUUAAAAAGUCAGAAGUGAAAUCCUAUAGCUUAACUAUAGAACUGCUUCUGAAACUCUUAAUCUAGAAUAUGGGAGAGGUAGAUGGAAUUUCUGGUGUAGGGGUAAAAUCCGUAGAGAUCAGAAGGAAUACCGAUUGCGAAGGCGAUCUACUAGAACAUUACUGACGCUAAGGCGUGAAAGCGUGGGGAGCAAACAGGAUUAGAUACCCCGGUAGUC